This 533-nucleotide ribosomal RNA is filed under the name Penicillium aurantiogriseum. RNAcentral describes it as "eukaryotic LSU rRNA". The stretch from base 154 to 306 matches the Rfam family "5.8S ribosomal RNA". Lineage: Eukaryota; Fungi; Ascomycota; Eurotiomycetes; Eurotiales; Aspergillaceae. The record is from RNAcentral.
ACCUCCCACCCGUGUUUAUUUUACCUUGUUGCUUCGGCGGGCCCGCCUUUACUGGCCGCCGGGGGGCUUCACGCCCCCGGGCCCGCGCCCGCCGAAGACACCCUCGAACUCUGUCUGAAGAUUGAAGUCUGAGUGAAAAUAUAAAUUAUUUAAAACUUUCAACAACGGAUCUCUUGGUUCCGGCAUCGAUGAAGAACGCAGCGAAAUGCGAUACGUAAUGUGAAUUGCAAAUUCAGUGAAUCAUCGAGUCUUUGAACGCACAUUGCGCCCCCUGGUAUUCCGGGGGGCAUGCCUGUCCGAGCGUCAUUGCUGCCCUCAAGCCCGGCUUGUGUGUUGGGCCCCGUCCUCCGAUUCCGGGGGACGGGCCCGAAAGGCAGCGGCGGCACCGCGUCCGGUCCUCGAGCGUAUGGGGCUUUGUCACCCGCUCCGUAGGCCCGGCCGGCGCUUGCCGAUCAACCCAAAUUUUUAUCCAGGUUGACCUCGGAUCAGGUAGGGAUACCCGCUGAACUUAAGCAUAUCAAUAAGCGGAGGAA